This 253-nucleotide long non-coding RNA is filed under the name Amborella trichopoda. RNAcentral describes it as "long non-coding RNA (ATRI_LNC000127)". The record is from RNAcentral. Lineage: Eukaryota; Viridiplantae; Streptophyta; Magnoliopsida; Amborellales; Amborellaceae.
AAGCGAUUGAAGGUUGGGCAUUUUUUAAGCUUAAAAGGUGUGCCCCGAAAGAACUUUUAGUGAAACUGCUCUCUUUUUGCGUUGCUCUUGGUAAGCAAGCUACCUUGCAUUCUAAAGCUCAAAGUUUAGCGAAGAGAAGAAAGCAACUUAGUGCGAAAUGAGAGUGGAAAGAAGUGGCAGAGAUGAGGGUAGGCAAGGUUUGCUGACUCGUUGAGUUGCUGCUUUGAUAGUAGCAUAAGAGGUUACUUAGCUU